AGCUAAUAGAUACCCGGGUAGUCCUGGCAGUAGACGGUGCGCGUUUGGUGUGGGAGGAUUCGACCCCUUCUGUGCCGGAGCUAAACGCGUUAAACGCGCCGCCUGGGGAGUACGGUCGCAAGAUUAAAACUCAAAGAAAUUGACGGGGGCCCGCACAAGCGGUGGAGUAUGUGGCUUAAUUCGAUGCAACGCGAAGAACCUUACCUAGCCUUGACAUGCAUCUCUAAGUCGGUGAAAGCCGGCGAGUGUAGCAAUACACAAUUUGCACAGGUGCUGCAUGGCUGUCGUCAGCUCGUGUCGUGAGAUGUUGGGUUUAAGUCCCGCAACGAGCGCAACCCCUGUGAACUGUUGCCACCGGGCCUUGGCCGAGCACUCUGUUCAGACUGCCCUGUGAACGGGGUAGGAAGGUGGGGUAGUGACGUCGAAGUCAGCAUGGCCUUACGGCUAGGGCUGCACGCGUACUACAAUGCUCAGUACAG
This 479-nucleotide ribosomal RNA is filed under the name uncultured bacterium. RNAcentral describes it as "bacterial SSU rRNA". It matches the Rfam family "Bacterial small subunit ribosomal RNA", at positions 767 to 1242 of the family's 1533-position model. The record is from RNAcentral.